RNAcentral lists this ribosomal RNA (596 nucleotides) under uncultured soil bacterium. RNAcentral describes it as "bacterial SSU rRNA". It matches the Rfam family "Bacterial small subunit ribosomal RNA", at positions 35 to 617 of the family's 1533-position model. The record is from RNAcentral.
GCUGGCGGCGCGCUUAACACAUGCAAGUCNAGCGAGAACCNUGCCUUCGGGCAUGGGGACAGCGGCGAACGGGUGAGUAACACGUGGGUAAUCUGCCCUUGACAUCGGGAUAGCCCGGGGAAACCCGGACUAAUACCGAAUAGCCUCCGAAGCCCUCGGGCGUCGGAGAAAAGGUAGCUUCGGCCUCUGGUCAAGGAUGAGCCCGCGGCGGAUUAGCUUGUUGGCGGGGUAACGGCCCACCAAGGCGACGAUCCGUAGCUGGUCUGAGAGGACGAUCAGCCACACUGGGACUGAGACACGGCCCAGACUCCUACGGGAGGCAGCAGUGGGGAAUCUUGCGCAAAUGCGGGAAACCGUGACGCAGCGACGCCGCGUGGGGGAAGAAGGCCUUCGGGUUGUAAACCUCUUUCAGGGGGGACGAAGCUACUCGGGUUAAUAGCCCAGAGGGUGACGGUACCUCCAGAAGAAGCCCCGGCUAACUACGUGCCAGCAGCCGCGGUAAUACGUAGGGGGCAAGCGUUGUCCGGAUUUAUUGGGCGUAAAGAGCGUGUAGGCGGCUUGGUAGGUCCGCUGUGAAAACUCGAGGCUCAACCUCG